Pseudomyrmex gracilis is the source of this 823-nucleotide long non-coding RNA. RefSeq lists it as uncharacterized. The record is from RefSeq and is a predicted model, not a curated record. The transcript is spliced from 3 exons. Lineage: Eukaryota; Metazoa; Arthropoda; Insecta; Hymenoptera; Formicidae.
UACACGUUUUUCUAGAAACAGAAUAUUUUUCGUAGAUAAGAAACUGCAACGCCAAGACUCUUUUUCAAAGAGAUAAGAGUGUUAUUUCUUGAUGCUGCUGAAAAAUUAUCUGCCGGUGAUCAAGUGUCGCACUGGGAAUUAUUUGUAGAUGGAGAAAAAAAAAACUCGCAACUGAUAAAUCCGCCAAGAGCGAGGUAGAGUAUUUGUUCAGAAAUUGUACAAGAAGAAGAAGUUAAAAGAUGACGAACUCUCAUCCCAAGAAAGCAAUUUUUCUUCUUUCGAGAAAAUCCUCGAAAGCUGAUGUCGACGAAAAUAGUGAAGCGGAUAAUGUGCGAGAGAAGAGCCGUGAAAUGUAAACGCGGUUACUAUAUCUUCCUCAAAUUAAUAAAUUCAAGCGACGUACUGAAUGUAAUCGCCGAAGCAACACGUAAUAUGUAAGUUUAGGAAAAGCUAAAACACACUUCGAUAUGUCGCGUUUCUUUCAUCUGCUUUUGUAUUUUUACACAGAUAUGCUAACAAAUGUUUUUGUAUUUUACACAUAUAUGCUAACAAAUUGCAAUACGCAGUUUUCGUAACGCCAAUAGAAAUGCAAGUCUUUCGCGUGCUACGUAUUCUGCGAGUACUACGUCAAAUUAAACUGGCCGAUUUUCCAAAAAAAAAAAAAAAGUGUAUGACGUCUUUGGCGAGAAAUUACAAAAAACUGCUACUGAAAUAAGACUUGACAAAAGAGGAUCUACUGGUCGCACGUUCAAUUGGACAAAACUCCAGGGAUUUUCCAAGUCCUGCUGAAGUUUUCCUAAUUGACCGAACUUAUUAGUGCCAC